AACGAACGCUGGCGGCAUGCCUAACACAUGCAAGUCGAACGAGACCUUCGGGUCUAGUGGCGCACGGGUGCGUAACGCGUGGGAACCUGCCCUUAGGUUCGGAAUAACUCCCCGGAAGGGGUGCUAAUACCGGAUCAUGUCUUCCGACCAAAGAUUUAUCGCAUUUGGAUGGGCCCGCGUUGGAUUAGCUAGUUGGUAGGGUAAAAGCCUACCAAGGCGACGAUCCAUAGCUGGUCUGAGAGGAUGAUCAGCCACACUGGGACUGAGACACGGCCCAGACUCCUACGGGAGGCAGCAGUGGGGAAUAUUGGACAAUGGGCGAAAGCCUGAUCCAGCAAUGCCGCGUGAGUGAUGAAGGCCUUAGGGUUGUAAAGCUCUUUUACCCGGGAUGAUAAUGACAGUACCGGGAGAAUAAGCUCCGGCUAACUCCGUG
Molecule: ribosomal RNA, 433 nt
Filed under: uncultured bacterium
Lineage: Bacteria
Description: partial 16S ribosomal RNA
Rfam family: Bacterial small subunit ribosomal RNA
Source: RNAcentral